CUGAACUCCAAUCCAGUAAGACUAACCGCUGAACUUAAGCAUAUCAAUAAGCGGAGGA
Molecule: ribosomal RNA, 58 nt
Filed under: Rhizoctonia solani AG-4 HGI
Lineage: Eukaryota; Fungi; Basidiomycota; Agaricomycetes; Cantharellales; Ceratobasidiaceae
Description: partial 28S large subunit ribosomal RNA
Source: RNAcentral